GCUAAUGCGUGGUAUUAUGCCGUGGUGAUGGCUCGGACGGAUCAGCUGAUCCUGUGUGUGUCCUUGUCCAGGUUCCUGGGUUGCUGCCUUGCUCUACUCUACCGACGUUAGGUGGUGCCGGUACAACAGCCUGAUGGAUAGAAAGGCUAGGCCAGUUUUCAUUGUCCACGUGGCUAACCCGGUAAUACAGAUAUCUCACUCGUUUGCCUUCCAUGUGAGCGAAGUGAUUCCUCAAGUUCAGGUUGAACAAGUGAAUAUCGGUUUGCAAGCACGAGAGCAAGGGGUCGAAAAGAAGAGGAAAGAACCACCAUAAAUCGGAGGGCUAUAUUGUGGUGGAUAAGGCUGAUGGGCAUUGAUGAAUUGCAUAUGGAGCUUAUAGCAUGGCAAGGGAGAACCUUGAUUUAUGUCUGUGUUACAUCAUGUACCGGUAAUGUUUCAUGUUGUGUUGGACCACCAAAUUUUCAGAAAUAUAAGCAUUAAGUAUCAGAGCUUUCUCUUUCUCAGCAUGACAAUUGAUGUAGUUGUGAAUGAAUCAUAGUUUAGAUGAAUAUAUAUUGAAGCUGGACUGAAUAAUUUUGUAGCUUGCCCCUAGCCCCUAACUGCAUGUGCACAUGUACAUGCAAAAUUCUGUAGCGUGUUUUACCUUUGAGUUAAAGGGAUCAGGUAAAAAGUAGAUGUAAGAAUAUAAAUUUCAUAACAUAUACAAAUUCCAAAUUUAUAUUCA
Aegilops tauschii subsp. strangulata is the source of this 724-nucleotide long non-coding RNA. RefSeq lists it as uncharacterized. Lineage: Eukaryota; Viridiplantae; Streptophyta; Magnoliopsida; Poales; Poaceae. The record is from RefSeq and is a predicted model, not a curated record.